CUUGCCCAUUUAGAGGAAGUAAAAGUCGUAACANGNUUUCCGUAGGUGAACCUGCGGAAGGAUCAUUAGUGAAUUAUAGGGCGUCUACUUGUAGAGCCUGACCUCCACUUCUAACACUGUGCACUUGAUGGCGAGGUAAUGGAACUUUCGAGUGAAACUACCUUGCGGCUUCAUUUUAAACAUUAGUCAAAGUAUGUAAUGAAAUAUUAAAACAAAAAAAAAACUUUCAACAACGGAUCUCUUGGCUCUCGCAUCGAUGAAGAACGCAGCGAAAUGUGAUAAGUAAUGUGAAUUGCAGAAUUCAGUGAAUCAUCGAAUCUUUGAACGCACCUUGCGCUCCCUGGUAUUCCGGGGAGCAUGCCUGUUUGAGUGUCAUGAACUCUUCAACCCACCAGUUUCUAGUAGACUGCGUUGGUGUUUGGAUUUUGAGCGUUGCUAGUCUGACUAGCUCGUUCGUAAUAUAUUAGCAUCUCUAAUUCGAAUUCGGAUUGACUCAGUGUAAUAGACUAUUCGCUGAGGACACUUUUAUUAGUGGCCGUACUAGAACCAGUAGAAGCUUCCAACUAUUGUAGUCAACUUUAGAUUAGACCUCAGAUCAGGCAGGAUUACCCGCUGAACUUAAGCAUAUCAAUAAGCGGAGGA
RNAcentral lists this ribosomal RNA (642 nucleotides) under uncultured Rhodotorula. Its description in RNAcentral is "eukaryotic LSU rRNA". The stretch from base 222 to 375 matches the Rfam family "5.8S ribosomal RNA". The record is from RNAcentral. Lineage: Eukaryota; Fungi; Basidiomycota.